CACAUGAAGCAUGUGCAUACAAGCUCCACUGAGCUGUUGGAUACACUCUGUCCCCUCACAGGUCUCAGUGUGACUGCACUGCAGAUAUUCUGGCAUAAUGAACUGAGAAAUCUUUAACUGCUGUAGAAGUUAAUUCAGCUGGACCCCAUUGGCUCAGGAAGGCAGUUCCAUUUACCAGGGUUUGAGGAUGAUAAAAAGUUAGUGAAAGGGGUGACAUCUUAAGAGUUAUAACAACUGUCUCUGAAGUGUUUGCCCACAGCUGGAGAACCCUGGUAGGUGAAUUUCUUGGUUCCAGAAUUCAAUUCAUCUGUCAGCUCUGCAUCUCAGCUGUCCCGUUCCAGGGCUGCAGAACCAAAGGAAUGUUGGCUUUGUGGUCAUUGCAGGUCAUGGGUCUGUCUGUUAAAAUUUAACAAAUAGCAGCUUUAUUUCACUUGCUCAGCACUGGACUGUAGAUUUCCCCCUCAAUUUUUAUCCUGAAGAAUUAGCAUAAAAGGUUAUGAACCUAAAUCUUGUAUGUGGCUAGCAUGAAAAAAGUAGUGUGUGAAAGGUUGGCCUUAUUUGGUAUUACCAGCAGUUAAUGGUUACAAAGUGUUUGCAGUUACUCAACCUUUUCACCUGCUGCUAAGAGAGUUAAGAGACAUGACAGUUAAAUCUGAUUUUAAUGGUUUAAAGGAUGUAUUCUGUCCAAGGAAGUCUGCAAAACUCCUGAAUUGCAAAAGUUCUGAACUCGUUUUGUCAGUUAGAGAUUUUUCUUUACAGAAUCAACUUUAUGUAUGAACCAUCUUUCAUAAGUUACUGUAUGUAUAAAUGAAUUAUUUUCAAUGAUUUAGCAUUAAUCCUGCUCUCUGUAAUUCCUGUCAUUCCUUGUAGUAGUUAUUAAAUAAAUAUGGAGAGUAAUUAUUUUAAUUUUACAGAAGUAAAAUUAAAUUACUUGUAAGUAAUUUAGGAUUUAUUUAAGAAUCCAGACGUUUGGAAAAAAAACAUUUUUUUAGAAGAAAUAAUCCACUGGAAACAUCAGUUUAAUGUCUUUCUCAAGCCUUUAUCAUCUUUAAUUAAGAUUUUUGUUGACUAAUUUUUUAUGAUUAGUCUGUUUAAAUAUUGGGUUCCUGACUACACUAUGACUAAGCAGUGUAGAUGCUUACGUCUUAAGCUGAGAGCAGAAAGAAUUCAUCAUUCAUACAAAACUGUGCAGUGAAAUAGAUCUCAAGCAACAAAAUUCCAAUCAUCUCAUAAGCAGACAUAAGUGCAUAUGUAAAGCUACAAGUGAGGCUUGCAAAGGGGAAUCAAGAAAUCACCUCUCACUUAGUGCUGUCUCCAGUGUUUGUCAAAAAUUAAUGCAAAUGAUUGUUAGAAAUACUGAGUACACAAUCUUUGUUUGACUUACAGAUUGCACUCAAAUGAACGUGUAUGUCAAGUGCCACAGAGGAAAGAAUAAGGCCCCAAAAAUCACUUCCUUUUAACUCCAGGUACUUGUUAUUUAUGCUUUCAUUUUUAUUGACAUAAACAUAAUAUUUAGAAUGAAAUCAUCUACAUGUAAAUAAUUUUUUUUUGUUGAUUAUCUUUUUCUCCUGAGCUAAUUGAAUCGUUGCAAAGCUUGUGCAGGGAUUCUAGAAUACUCUUCAAUAUUAGGAUUGUCUGCCAAGAACACUCUCCAGUUGUGCUAAAAAGCUUCUCAGCUCCUGUCAGUCUUUGUAAAAUCCUAUUUUUCUCGUAACUCAAAACAUUUUGGAUAACUUGUUUUCUGAUAAGUUAGUGCCAUAAUUAAACUCCAGUGAAUUUGCUGCAUCCUUUGCAUCUUAUCUAAUAGAUCCACCCUUUUUUAAAAACGUCUUUUCAGUAAUACUGCAUUUCCUGAAAACAGCAAGAUGAUUUAUAAUUUAAAAAUAUGAAAUUACUAUUACAUAAUGUUGCUUCAAAAGAAGUUAACAAUUUAUCCUUUAUAUCAGUUUAUCUGCAUGGGCAAUCUAUUAGAAAAUUGUAACUAAAGAGACAGAAAAUGAAGUGGUUUUUUUGCUUUUACUUUUGUUUUUAAACAUCCCAGUUAGUGAGUAAUUAUUCCAUAUUCCAUGGUCUCCAUGGAAUAUUCCAUGGUCUCCCUACUCCACAAUAUAAGUAUUCAAAUAGUUUGAUAUAUAUUCCAAUAAGAAACUAAGCAGUUUUUUUUGUAUGUAAAUGGUAGUUUAUGGUGAGGAGGGCAUUUGUAUUUUAAAUAUGAAGAAAAUAUAAAGCUGAAUGUAUCCAUUUGGUGCAAAAAGAAAUACACAGACAAUCCCUUGCAUUGCUGCCAAAAGACUGACGUAUAAAUGAAUAAAAACAGUGUAAGUGUUGAAUUCCAUUCCUUAUGUUUUCCCUUGGAGAAUUGGAUGUUUUCUUUUUUGCAUGAGUGGCAAUGAAAGUGCAUGAAUUAAAUAAAACCCAAAAAACAAAACAAAACCCAAGAAAAUAAAACACCCAAAAAGAACCCCCAAACACAAUUGCAAUUAUUUCGUAGAGCAACUUCUGGUUCAUGGAGACCACAGUCUGAGCUUUGAUUGGAAAGGUUAGAUUUUAACCAGCUGAACUUCAUUGAAAAUUGGAGAAUGAGAGAAAUGGCAGUUACAAUGUAAUUUAUCUUGAUAACCAGAGAGAGAGAUUCACCACAUUUCUCUAGUGCAAAUACUUGCUUGACUAGGUUUUCUGGUUCUUUUUUUGCCUACUCUGAGUCCUUGACAGCUUUUCUGUGUGGCUUUCUAAUGUGGAUUUCUACUGGGCUUUUCCUAGAGAUGUAUUGAAGAACAUGAGAAAAGUAGAAAGAUUUUAUUUCUCAUGUUUUAUUACCAGCUCCUCAUUACCUUUACCUGCUGUAUGAUAAAUGUACACACUGUGAGGUAAUGCAAAUAAAGGCACAGCACAUAACAGAGGCGUAUAAAAAAUGUCAGAAAGUAGAGGUUCUAACCGAGGGGAAUUAUUUUGUACAUGUAAUUUGGGACUAUGGAAGAAGAAUUAGAAGUCAUGUUUAAAACUUCUGAAAUUACUCAGGAUUUUGUGGAGUGUUUAAUUCAGAUGUCUAAAAGCUAGUUAAAGGACUUCGCAAAGGUAUGUAAUUUUAUCAGUGAUCAAUUGUGUAGAAGAAUAUAUCUUCCAUGUCAAAAUAGAUUAAAAUUCAUAAUGGUAAUAUUUUAGUUUCAGAUAGUGAAAAACAACAAAAAUUGAGUGAAUAUGUGUGGUUUUGAAUUAAUUUUUAAGAUAUGAAAAGUUGUAGUAUGUCAGGGACUUGAGUGGAUAAAGGAGAAAUAAGCCAACAGCAACUGAAUAUUUGUGGGGAUUUAAAAUAUUAUAUAAAUAACAUGUGCACAUUUGAAGCAAUGUUACAGGGCACAUCAGAGAAAUUCAGGACAGAUUUGUGCAGUCAUUGGUGUUCUUCCCAGGUGAGAUCUUUUCCACACUGCUGUAGUCCAUGGCCAUGAGAGUGUCCCUGAGUCCCCUCUGUGAGUGUCAUCUCCUGUGGAGGAGCAGCCAUCCCAGGAAGUGCAGUGGAAAGGACACCUCUGUCCCCUGGGUCAGAACUGCUGCUGGCACACAUUCUGGGGCACCUGGCUGGAUUUUUUCUGACUGUAUCCACCCUAAAGUACAAGAAUGUGUACACAGUAGCCUCUUAAAUCCAGUGUACUCCCAAGAGACGAGGUCCUGUUAUAAAUUCUCACUAGUAGAGAAAAAAUGCUGUGCUAGGAUCACAGUGCUUUUCCUCAAGCUUCUCAGGAAAUACUUUGUACUUAUUUUAGUCCUGACAGGCCAACAAUCAGAUUAUACAAAUUUGUUUUACCAAGAAGCUGGGCAGGAAAGGUGGUCAGUGUCACAAAUUAUCUUCUUAUCAGAUUCAGGUUUGCUAUCCCACUUAACUGUUCCAAAUUCUACAUUGACAAAUUCCAUUUUAGCAAUCUGGAAUUUGUCCCCUUCCUUCUGAAGCCAGAUGAGAGGGAGAUGUCUGUAUAUUUCCAGUUAUCACAGAAAUCUUUUACAGAAAUCUUUAUAAUUCUUUUAUAAUUUCCUUUCUAUUGAAUCCCUUCUUUUAGGAAAUUUUAGUAAUUUGUUUUGAGGGAGUGAGAGAGAAUUUUUAAAAAAUUUUUACUCAUAUAUUUGUAUCAGAAGUAAUCAUCAUCAUCAUCAAUAAAUAUUAGAAUGGAGUAGAGAGGCAUUGACAUAUUGAAAAACUAAGAUUAAGAUUAUGAGUCCUACUAAUUAUUUACAGUCAGCUUGAUGUUAUCAGAGACUCUCAAUACAGAAAUUGUGGCAGGAGUUUAUAUUUGCAGGACGCAUGUACUACUUACCAUCUUAUAUGUCCCUUACAACACAAUUCCCAGAUAUAAUGAUGAACCAAAAGCGGAAAAAAAGAAAAUAAAAAUGUGCUUUUUUCUGGGAUUUUUUUGUUGUAGGUUUUGGGGGGUUUUUAAAUGAAAAGGUGGAACUUUCCUUUAAAAAAUAUGAAAAGUACAAUAAUAAUUAUAAAAUAGCAGACUUGUUGAGGCAAAUGCAUUGAAGUCAUUCAGAAAAAUAACUGCAUGACAUCAUGGGAGAAAGAUAGAACCAAAAAAGGAUACGUUUUGCAGGCCAAAUAGCUUCUAUUCAUUCCCAAAGAAUUUGUCCUACUCACACAAGAAUUGGGAGAAAGAAAAAAA
Taeniopygia guttata (zebra finch) is the source of this 4655-nucleotide long non-coding RNA. NCBI's taxonomy places the organism in Eukaryota, Metazoa, Chordata, Aves, Passeriformes, Estrildidae. The record is from Ensembl.